RNAcentral lists this ribosomal RNA (440 nucleotides) under uncultured bacterium. RNAcentral describes it as "partial 16S ribosomal RNA". It matches the Rfam family "Bacterial small subunit ribosomal RNA", at positions 338 to 795 of the family's 1533-position model. The record is from RNAcentral.
CCUACGGGUGGCAGCAGUGGGGGAUAUUGCACAAUGGGGGGAACCCUGAUGCAGCGACGCCGCGUGGGUGAAGGAGGGUUUCGGGGCGUAAAGCCCUAUCGGCAGGGAAGAAGAUGACGGUACCUGACCAAGAAGCCCCGGCUAACGACGUGCCAGCGGCCGCGGUAAUACGUAGGGGGCAAGCGUUCUCCGGAUUUAAUGGGUGUAAAGGGGGUGGAGACGGGCAAGCAAGCCAGGAGUGAAAGGCCGGGGCCCAACCUCAGGACUGCAGUUGGUACUGGAUGGGUGGAGUACAGGAGGGGCAGGCGGAAUUCCUAGUGUAGCGGUGAAAUGCGUAGAUAUGAGGAGGAACACCGGUGGCGAAGGCGGCCUGCUGGACUGUGACUGACGUUGAGGCCCGAAGGCGUGGGGAUCAAACAGGAUUAGAUACCCUUGUAGUC